Molecule: unclassified non-coding RNA, 7301 nt
Filed under: Pectinophora gossypiella (pink bollworm)
Lineage: Eukaryota; Metazoa; Arthropoda; Insecta; Lepidoptera; Gelechiidae
Description: transcription factor CP2-like protein 1
Source: RNAcentral
AAGCCACCGUCAAAGAGAAACGACCGGAAUUAAGAAGCUCUACAACUCAUUCUUCGUUCUCUUCUAAGUGUUUAAGAACUGUCCAAGAAUCAUUCAUUUCAUCAUUCAUAUAGUGACAUUUGUUUAAGUGUGAUGGCGUGGUAAUGGCAUUUCAUGAAGAGCUGCAGGACUUGACUAUUAUGCAUGAGGGGAGGAAAGACGAUCCGUUUACCUGGGAGUCUAGUGUCAGGCUGACAAUGAUGGGCAGGGACGAGGAGCUGUAUAUGGAGGAGCGGGAGGGCCGGAAGCGGAAGUGGCAGGAGGGGGGCAAGAUGAUGCGGGAAGACGAGGAGAAAGUCCAGAGGAAGGUGCCGCCGAAAAAGGUUAUGGCGGCUCUGGGAGACAUGGGCGGCAGCGGCACCAGCUCAUCAUCGUCCCACAUGUCGCCGGGCUGGCAGGUCAACGACCUCGACCUGGAUUUACCUGGCGAGCUAUCCAUGAAUGAGGCGCUGCUAUCGUUGCCGUCCCUGGCGGUGUUCAAACAGGAGGCGCCGUCACCCACAGGCGCCGUGCUGUCUCCGCCACGCCGGUACACGCGCCGCCCCGAUGAUAGACAGAUCACCAGCAUGGUGGUGGACGGUCGUGACGGUAUGGACGACGGCUGCCAGUCCUCGCCGCAUGCUAACAUCAUGGCUCAGCAUGGCAACCCAGAGAGUAUGCAGUGCCAGCCGAGCCUGCCGCCCGGCGCGUUGGUGCCCGUCUCAGGGUACCAUUCUCCGGGAAACCACGAGACCAAGAAUGCCGGGCUGCUGAUGUGCUCUCCAGUCAGCUCCCUGGAUGGGUUCCUGCACUCGCCGGUGCCUCAACGCAUCGAACCUAGCUUCAAGGAUGACACCAGGUUCCAAUACGUGCUAGCGGCAGCGACAUCUAUCGCGACCAAACAGAACGAAGAGACCCUCACGUAUCUGAACCAGGGACAGCCGUACGAGAUCAAACUGAAGAAGCUGGGGGACCUGUCACACUACAAGGGCAAAAUACUCAAGAGCGUGAUCAAGAUUUGCUUCCACGAGCGUCGCUUGCAGUACAUGGAGCGUGAGCAGAUUGCGCAGUGGCACGCCGAGCGGCCCAGCGAGCGGAUACUAGAGGUGGAUGUGCCGCUGUCCUACGGGGUGAUCCGCGUCGAGCAGCCAUCUUGCCUCAACGCUCUGCACGUGUUCUGGGACCCCACCAAGGACGUCGGCGUGUACAUCAAGGUUAACUGCAUCUCGACGGAGUUCACAGCGAAGAAGCAUGGCGGCGAGAAAGGGGUCCCCUUCCGCAUCCAGGUGGAGACAUACCUCGCCAGCGACGACCACAACCGACUGCACGCCGCCGCCUGCCAGAUCAAGGUGUUCAAGCUAAAAGGCGCAGACAGGAAGCACAAGCAAGACAGAGAGAAGGUGAUGAGGCGGCCUCGCUCGGACUUGGAGAAAUACCAGCCGGGGUGCGAGGCGACCGUACUCACCACGCUAUCUAACGAUGCGCUGCUGCCGCCACCAUCGCUGGUAACCACCUCACCACCAUACUCGCCAGACCUGUGCUGGAACUGGGACCAAUCGGCUACGAUGUGGCAAGGGUCCGCAGAUGUCGAAGAGAAAAAUAAUUUGGCGCCAAAGUCGGUUGGAAGCCCCAGCGCUGUUAAUAAACCUGUUUUGAAUCAACCUGCCUUACUCGCCUCCUCGAGCCAGAUGAAGCCGUAUUACUGCACUGAUGGUGGUGAGAUGAAGGUGACGACUCCGCCGUGCCACUCCCCCGGUGCCAUCCUGCCCGACCUGCCGCAGGCAGCCGAGGACCCUGACCAGCACUGCGGCCUGUCGAAGGACGCGUCUGCAGCGGACACGCAGCAGUGGCUCAGCAGGAACCGGUUCGCGCAGCAUGCGGUCACCUUCACCAACUUCUGUGGCGCUGACUUGCUCAGGCUGUCUCGCGAUGACAUCAUCCAGAUUUGUGGACUCGCCGACGGCAUCCGCCUAUUCAACGCACUGCACGCUAAACGCAUCGCGCCGCGCCUCACGCUGUACGUGUGCGCACACGCAGGCGGCGUGUACAGCGCGCUGUACCUGCACGCCUGCCGGGCGGCGGAGCUGGCGCACAAGCUGCGGGCGCUGCUGCCCGAGCCCGCCAAGGAGUGCGAGACGGUGCUGGUGUGCGGGCCGCACGGGUCCCGCGUGCGUCUGUCGGACGAGCUGGUGCGCCACCUGCCCGACCACGGCACCUUCCGCCUGCACAGCCUGGACCCGCACACGCUGCUACUGGCGCCCACCGCGCCCACGCCGCCCGCCGCGCCCGCCCACAACGGGUCAAUGUAAAAUUUUUGAAUUCACGUCAUUUAUUUAUUUAUUUGGUCAACCAACGGCAAGUACACUGGUACAUGGUUACAGUUUGCAGUUAAUACAUAUAAAAAACUAAGCGCCUCGCCACUUACAGGUGGACACAACGUGCACUAAUACUUUAGGUACUUAAUUACAAAAUUAAAUUAGAGCUAGAAAAAGUAACAACUUACAAUGAUUAAAAAGUAUCUGUUAUAGAUAAAACAGUCUUUUUGAUUCGAGGAACAGAUGUGAAGAAGAUAUCUAUUUUAUCUGCAUACAAUUCGUAAGGUUUCAUUUCCCAAGGUGUUAAGGCUGAGGAGAAGAAAUGACAAGAAACUGCAACAGCAACACAUCUUUUAAAUCAAUGAGGGAUGUCGGUAGAAGCGCUGGUUCCAACUUGCAGCAAUGAGUCCAACUUGCACCAAUGAGUCCAACUUGCACCAAUAAGUCCAACUUGCACCAAUGAGUUAUUAUCUCAAGUGCAGUUUAUUUCGGUUACACCACCUAUCACGUUGUGCUAACAGAAAGCUCGGUGAGGUGUGGUUAUAUUAUGUUUCCUCUUUAGUAAUACUCAAAUGUUAGAAUUAGAAUGUAUCUCGAAGUAUGUGCAUAACUUUGAUGAGGGUAGAAGCGAAAGUGGUGUUUCAGGAUCACCGUAAGUGGAAUUCCGUGGUGUCCACCCCGACGGGAAAUAGGCGUGAUGUAGUGUAUAUGUAUGUUAAUCUUAGUACCUAUGCUCUCGGAUUUGACAUAAACAGCCUAUAUACGUCCCACUGCUGGGCACAGACCUCCACGCCGCUACACAAGUGGGUGGGUAACUUUAAAAAAAGGAGUCAAUUUGGAAAAACUCGCCUCUUAAAUUGAUCCCGGGACCUCUUAGUCAGUGGCCUGUGUAGCCACUACUCAGUCGUGCAUAAAGGUAAUUAUUAGUAGUUAUGUUCAAAUGCUCGCCGGAGCUCGGUGGCGCAGCGGUAAACGCGCUCGGUAUGCGAUUGUUGAAGUUAAGCAACUUUCGCAAAGGCCGGUCAUAGGAUGGGUGACCACAAAAAAGAAACAAAAAAGUUUUUAUCUCGAGCUUCUCCGUGCUUCGGAAGGCACGUUAAGCCGUUGGUCUCGGCUGCAUUGGCAGUCGUUAAUAACCACCAAUCCGCACUGGGCCCGCGUGAUGGUUUAAGGCCCGAUCUCCCUAUCCAUCCAUAGGGAAGGCCCGUGUCUCAGCAGUGGGGACGUUAAUGGGCUGAUGAUGAUGAUGAUGAUGUUCAAACGCCAUGUUGAAUUAAGUUAGUACUAACUAUCGCCUCAUGAAACUAAUACAAAGAGUAGUUAUAAUUGUUUAAAUAAUAAUUAGAGUAUAAUUUUGAUUUGUAUUCCUUAUUUAAGCGUAUUUUGUUAAGCGUCGAUUUAGAACGACCAUUUUGUGUUUAAAUUUCAAAAAGAGAAAUCCGCCAUUUUGAAUACAGCAGGUGAACUGUCAAAAGCUUCGCAGUUCGCCCGCUAGGCGGUGUUUUACGCGUUAAUAUGGCGCCACUGUUGUACAUACUAAAAUAUAACUGCUGUGUUAAUUGUAAUCUUCAAUGUUGUCAAUGAACGCAGUUGAUUGUCGACCGUAACAGACGGCGAAACGGUUCACAGCAGUUGAAUGACCUAAUACUAGGUUUGAUAAAGUCGGUCAUUGACCUAACUUUGUUUGUAAAGGAAAAAAAGGUAUAUUUAAUAUUUAAUUUAACCCAUGGUAUAAGAAAACCGGGUAUACUCAAAAGUGACAGCUAACAUUUCAAGGUUAGCCCAGCUGACGUCAUCCGACCCUGCGUUGCCAUUUCGUAAAAAAUAAAUUACCCACGUCCAAUGUUUUUAAUUUACUUUGCAAGGAAAUUUUGAACUUUUAGUAAAAUAUUUUCUUACAGUUUUAAUGAUGUUUAUGUAUGUGACAAGUAAUAGUAAUUAAAUACAUUAGUCAGUAAUUGGAUAUUUGACUGGGUCAAAGAUAAAUCAUAAAAUGCUAAUAUAGAAAUAGAAGCCAAUCUAAGAUGAUCAAAAAUCAAUCUCAUUUUACUUUUCGACUUAUUCGAAUUAUGUAACAAUGAGUACGACGUUUGACCGCUUUUAUUGAUGACGUCACAGGACAGUAUUUCCAUACAAACUCCAAAGGAAACUUUCGUUUUGACGUUUCGUAAAAAGUAUCUCAUUUGACUAGGUUGUCAAGUAGCCUAUUCACUUAUUUUUCAAUAAUAAAAUUUACGUCCUUGGAAUGUUGGAGAUACCAAUUUAGUGGUAACACUUACGUCAUCAAAGGGCUAGCAAUUGGCUUUUCAUAGGAUUGAGCAUACCUGGUUUUCUUGUACCAUGAUUUAACCUGUGCAGCUAUUUAUUAGCUUUAAUGUUAAUUUUGAUUGUUGUAUCAAUAAUUGUUAUUUGUUUAUAGAACAUGUAACGCCCCAGGCGAUGAAUGUUAUUUUUUUUAUCAAGUUAUUGGUGCUAAUUCCUGUAAAUACCAUCUAAUUUUAUUUUAAGUUAUAUCUGUCAUUUUCUUAUCCGCCGAAAAGGAAAGGGACGGGUAAUCGACAAGCGUAAAAUUUAUGGAACACACGUCAAUUUUAAGCACAAAUCUAAAACAACCGUCUAAAAAUUUUACAUCAGUCAAUAACCCGACACAGUUGGUAGACAGCAUGUCAAACGGAUUGCAUACCAGUGACGUACCUUUUUGAUUCGCUCGGGUUAUUCAUUAAUUUACUCAUUCUUCCUAAAAUUAAGAGCUGUGAAUCAUCCGUCCCUUUCCUUUUCGACGGAUAUGAAACUGACGGAUAUAACUUAAAAUAAAAUUAGGCGGUGUCUGCAGGAAUCGGGGCCAUUGUCAAGAAACAGGAUGCGCCAGGAGUGUCCUAGCAUUCUUGUCCACUGUUGUGUCGACUCCACCUUGAGCGCAAUAAGGGCAUGAGGGUGAUGAGUUUAUUAUGUUCGUAAUAAAUAAAUCUUGUUUAUAAUCUUGUUGGUAAAAGUAAGAUGGUAUUUUGUGAAUAGAUUAUGGAUAGUAUAUAGUUAUUGUGCAAUGAUGAAAAGUUUGAAGGGAAUUGGCUAUUUGACAGUUGAACUGUUUAUGUGUACAAAAAUCUUUAAUAAACUGCCAGAAAGUAUCAGAGGCCUGCCUGUAAGAGUGUUUAGACGAUCUUUGUUUAAGCUACUGAGCGAGAAUCCUUUUUAUAGUGUCAGUGAAUUUCUUGAUCACAAAAUGUAAUAAUUAAUCUCUCUGUAUUUGCAUACCAAUAUUGUUUUGGUUAAAUGUGUGAAACUUUAAUUUAGUCAUAUAUAACAACCAAUGUACCACAUUUACCGCAAAUAAAUGAUUUGAUUUGAAAAUAUGAAAUAUGUCCGAAAUAGUAGUUUCUCAUUUAACGAUAAUCAUCCAAUAGUUUAACUUUAUUAAGAUCAUUUUUAAAAAUUUGAUUUUUACAAAAUAAGAACGCGGUUAUUUGGCGGCCAUGAUUGAGUUUGGUGACGUCACACAUACAUACAUAAACUCACGCCUAUUUCCCACCGGGGUAAGCAGAGACUAUAGAAUUCCAUUUGCUUCGAUCCUGACACACUUCUCUUGCUUCCUCCACAUUCAUCAUUCACUUCAUACACGCACGCCGGUUCAGAGUAGAUCGUAUUGAACCUUUACAAAAUAAACAAACUAUCUGUCAGGUUUCAAGUUAUACUGUUUGACAGUUUUUUUUUUCAUUGAAAUGUGACGUCACUGGGCGAAAUGUCACGUGACCAAACGUUUUCGCGCGAAAUUUUAAAAUGAAGAAUACGUUGAUUUCUAUUAUAUUAAGCUUUUUCGAAAAAUAAAACAAAAAAAAAUCGAAACAUUUCAUUUAUCACAUCACCAUCAUCCAACACCCCAUCAUCAACAUUCCACCAUUCCAUUUAAUUAUUAAUUUACAGGUUUUAUUUCAUUUUCUUUUCAUUUUAGAAAUAUUUUAAGAGGCAUAGAAUAAGCGUUUUACAAUACUUAUCUGAAAACUGUCAAAUAGCCAAUUGUCGUAAAAUUAAUUUCUAUCAAUUAUUUGUCUUAGUGUUGAACUCGUUAGUGGAGUCAAUGAAGGAGUUCACUUCUAACUUGCCAGGGACAGGUUCGAUUUUGAUGAUUUUUUCUUUUGUAUUGGGGUGAAUAUCAAAAUUUCAAGUUUGAUGGCGAAAUUUCAUAUUAUUUUUUCGUGAAAAAUUGGGUUCCGACGUGAAAAAGAUCCAAAAGGAUCCUCGGUUCCGACAUGAAAAAGGAAUUUUUCAAUUCCCAAUUUUUCACGAAAAAAUUAUAUGACAGUCGCCACCAAACGACACAUUUUGAUAUUCACCCAUUGGCAGUUUUUCAUAUCAUUGAAAAUUAGAAACAUCUUUGGCAAAUUAGAUGUUAAAAAAGUGAUCCUUCAAUGAUUCCGUUUUACCUUUAGUGGUUCGGAACCCUAAAAAAAGAUUAUUUAGCCGUGGUAGCCCAGUUGGUAGAACACUUGAUUCUCACUGUAAGGUCGCAGGUUCGAAUCCAGCACGGGCCUAAACCUAUGAUUUUCGAAAUCUUUUCGAAUUCAUGUUUGGAUCAUAAAUGAUUAUCACGUGCUCAGCGGUGAAGGAAAACGUCGUCAGAAAACCCACAUACCCGAGAAAUGCAUUUCGGAGAUAUGUGAACUGACCUGAAUUGGGCUGGUUUUUCCUUUGUGGGUUGGAAGGUCAGACAGGCAGUCGCUUCUGUGAAAAACUGGACCCUGUGAGAAACAGGAUAACGUUGAAGAUGAUGAGUUUAACGCAGGUGCCUUAAGAGUGCCUCACGCACGCCCCACGCGUUGCUGUACGGAGUAUUAAAAAAAAAUGUUAUAUUUUAUAUAAGAUUUUAUACCAUAUUAUUAUAUUGCAGGUAGUUACUGCAUGCCGUAGCUAGAUGGUAGUUAAGGUAAAUGUAUGGAUUGUAUUUGUAAAUAAAUAUAUAUGUUAGUUAAA